This 381-nucleotide ribosomal RNA is filed under the name uncultured bacterium. RNAcentral describes it as "bacterial SSU rRNA". It matches the Rfam family "Bacterial small subunit ribosomal RNA", at positions 42 to 450 of the family's 1533-position model. The record is from RNAcentral.
UCAGGCCUAACACAUGCAAGUCGAGCGAGGACUUCGGUCCUAGCGGCGGACGGGUGAGUAACGCGUGGGAACGUGCCCUUUGCUUCGGAAUAGCCCUGGGAAACUGGGAGUAAUACCGGAUGAGCCCUACGGGGGAAAGAUUUAUCGGCGAAGGAUCGGCCCGCGUUGGAUUAGGUAGUUGGUGGGGUAAUGGCCUACCAAGCCGACGAUCCAUAGCUGGUUUGAGAGGAUGAUCAGCCACACUGGGACUGAGACACGGCCCAGACUCCUACGGGAGGCAGCAGUGGGGAAUCUUAGACAAUGGGGGAAACCCUGAUCUAGCCAUGCCGCGUGAGCAGAAGAGAGGCCUUAGGGUUGUAAAGCUCUUCAGCUGGGAAGAUA